AUGGUUCUUUCGAAAUGGAUUCACACCAGGACUCUGACAGAAUUUCAGAACUAGCUUCAAACAAUUCGAACGAGUUGCCCCCACUACCAGAGGGUUCUCCACCAUUGCCUAUUGAUUCUCCUCCUCCACCCCCACCUUUGCCUCCUUCACCGCCCCCACCACCACCUCCUCCAUUAUCUCCAUCACCUCCACCGCCUCCACCUCCUUUUCCGUCACAGCUGCCCCCACUUCCUCCACCACCUGCAGGGCCACCUCCACCUACAGGCCCUCCUCCACCUGCAGGGCCUCCUCCACCUACAGUCCAUCCACCACCUAUGGGGCCUCCACCAUCUACGGGUCCUCCACCACCUAUGGGGCCUCCACCAUCUACGGGUCCUCCACCACCUAUGGGGCCUCCACCUCCAAUGGGCCCUCCACCUAGGGGUCCUCCACCGCUUAUGGGUCCUCCACCACCGACGGGGCCUCCACCACCCACAGGCCCUCCACCACCAAGGGGUCCACCACCUAUUGGGCCUCCACCACCUGCAGGGCCCCCACUACCUCCAGGCCCUCCACCCCCUCCUGGUCCCCCACCCCCUGCAAGCCAGCACCUACCUACAGGUCCUCCACCAUCACUGCUUUCUCAACCACCACUACCUCCUACACCGCAACUGCCACCUCCACCACAGUUACCACCUCCACCGCAACUACAACCUCAACCGCAACUACCACCUCAACCUCCAUUACUGCCAC
Molecule: long non-coding RNA, 732 nt
Filed under: Vitis vinifera (wine grape)
Lineage: Eukaryota; Viridiplantae; Streptophyta; Magnoliopsida; Vitales; Vitaceae
Description: long non-coding RNA (VVIN_LNC000024)
Source: RNAcentral